RNAcentral lists this ribosomal RNA (253 nucleotides) under uncultured bacterium. RNAcentral's name for it is "partial 16S ribosomal RNA". It matches the Rfam family "Bacterial small subunit ribosomal RNA", at positions 524 to 776 of the family's 1533-position model. The record is from RNAcentral.
UACGAAGGGUGCAAGCGUUACUCGGAAUUACUGGGCGUAAAGCGUGCGUAGGUGGUUUGUUAAGUCCGAUGUGAAAGCCCUGGGCUCAACCUGGGAAUGGCAUUGGAUACUGGCAGGCUAGAGUGCGGUAGAGGGCAGUGGAAUUCCCGGUGUAGCAGUGAAAUGCGUAGAUAUCAGGAGGAAUACCGAUGGCGAAGGCAGGUCUCUGGGCUGACACUGACGCUCAUGCACGAAAGCGUGGGGAGCAAACAGG